RNAcentral lists this ribosomal RNA (460 nucleotides) under uncultured bacterium. Its description in RNAcentral is "partial 16S ribosomal RNA". It matches the Rfam family "Bacterial small subunit ribosomal RNA", at positions 338 to 795 of the family's 1533-position model. The record is from RNAcentral.
CCUACGGGAGGCAGCAGUGAGGAAUAUUGGUCAAUGGACGCAAGUCUGAACCAGCCAUGCCGCGUGCAGGAAGACGGCUCUAUGAGUUGUAAACUGCUUUUGUACGAGGGUAAACGCAGAUACGUGUAUCUGGCUGAAAGUAACGUACGAAUAAGGAUCGGCUAACUCCGUGCCAGCAGCCGCGGGAAUACGGAGGAUUCAAGCGUUAUCCGGAUUUAUUGGGUUUAAAGGGUGCGUAGGCGGUCGGAUAAGUUAGAGGUGAAAUCCCGAGGCUCAACUUCGGAAUUGCCUCUGAUACUGUUCGGCUAGAGAGUAGUUGCGGUAGGCGGAAUGUAUGGUGUAGCGGUGAAAUGCUUAGAGAUCAUACAGAACACCGAUUGCGAAGGCAGCUUACCAAGCUACUUCUGACGUUGAGGCACGAAAGCGUGGGGAGCAAACAGGAUUAGAUACCCUAGUAGUC